GCGAAGGUGGCGGAAUUGGUAGACGCGCUAGCUGCUUCAGGUGUUAGUGUCCUUACGGACGUGGGGGUUCAAGUCCCCCCCCUCGCACCA
This 90-nucleotide transfer RNA is filed under the name Escherichia coli. RNAcentral describes it as "tRNA-Leu". It matches the Rfam family "tRNA". From Rfam's summary of the family: Transfer RNA (tRNA) molecules are approximately 80 nucleotides in length. Their secondary structure includes four short double-helical elements and three loops (D, anti-codon, and T loops). Further hydrogen bonds mediate the characteristic L-shaped molecular structure. tRNAs have two regions of fundamental functional importance: the anti-codon, which is responsible for specific mRNA codon recognition, and the 3' end, to which the tRNAs corresponding amino acid is attached (by aminoacyl-tRNA synthetases). tRNAs cope with the degeneracy of the genetic code in two manners: having more than one tRNA (with a specific anti-codon) for a particular amino acid; and 'wobble' base-pairing, i.e. permitting non-standard base-pairing at the 3rd anti-codon position. Lineage: Bacteria; Pseudomonadati; Pseudomonadota; Gammaproteobacteria; Enterobacterales; Enterobacteriaceae. The record is from RNAcentral.